AUUGAACGCUGGCGGCAGGCCUAACACAUGCCAGUCGAACGGUAACAGGAAGAAGCUUGCUUCUUUGCUGACGAGUGGCGGACGGGUGAGUAAUGUCUGGGAAACUGCCUGAUGGAGGGGGAUAACUACUGGAAACGGUAGCUAAUACCGCAUAACGUCGCAAGACCAAAGAGGGGGACCUUCGGGCCUCUUGCCAUCGGAUGUGCCCAGAUGGGAUUAGCUAGUAGGUGGGGUAACGGCUCACCUAGGCGACGAUCCCUAGCUGGUCUGAGAGGAUGACCAGCCACACUGGAACUGAGACACGGUCCAGACUCCUACGGGAGGCAGCAGUGGGGAAUAUUGCACAAUGGGCGCAAGCCUGAUGCAGCCAUGCCGCGUGUAUGAAGAAGGCCUUCGGGUUGUAAAGUACUUUCAGCGGGGAGGAAGGGAGUAAAGUUAAUACCUUUACUCAUGGACGUUACCCGCAGAAGAAGCACCGGCUAACUCCGU
Molecule: ribosomal RNA, 489 nt
Filed under: uncultured bacterium
Lineage: Bacteria
Description: partial 16S ribosomal RNA
Rfam family: Bacterial small subunit ribosomal RNA
Source: RNAcentral